Molecule: ribosomal RNA, 506 nt
Filed under: uncultured bacterium
Lineage: Bacteria
Description: partial 16S ribosomal RNA
Rfam family: Bacterial small subunit ribosomal RNA
Source: RNAcentral
AGUGAACGCUGGCGGUAGGCCUAACACAUGCAAGUCGAACGGCAGCACAGAGGAGCUUGCUCCUUGGGUGGCGAGUGGCGGACGGGUGAGGAGUACAUCGGAAUCUACUCUGUCGUGGGGGAUAACGUAGGGAAACUUACGCUAAUACCGCAUACGACCUACGGGUGUAAGCAGGGGACCUUCGGGCCUUGCGCGUAUGAAUGAGCCGAUGUCGGAUUAGCUAGUUGGCGGGGUAAAGGCCCACCAAGGCGACGAUCCGUAGCUGGUCUGAGAGGAUGAUCAGCCACACUGGAACUGAGACACGGUCCAGACUCCUACGGGAGGCAGCAGUGGGGAAUAUUGGACAAUGGGCGCAAGCCUGAUCCAGCCAUACCGCGUGGGUGAAGAAGGCCUUCGGGUUGUAAAGCCCUUUUGUUGGGAAAGAAAUCCAGCUGGCUAAUACCCGGUUGGGAUGACGGUACCCAAAGAAUAAGCACCGGCUAACUUCGUGCCAGCCGCCGCCGUAA